GAGGGCAUAGCUAAGUGGUAGAGUGCAUGCUUAGCGUGCAUGAGAUCCUGGGUUCAGUUCCAAGUACCUCA
RNAcentral lists this transfer RNA (71 nucleotides) under Camelus ferus (Wild Bactrian camel). It matches the Rfam family "tRNA". Rfam says of the family: Transfer RNA (tRNA) molecules are approximately 80 nucleotides in length. Their secondary structure includes four short double-helical elements and three loops (D, anti-codon, and T loops). The record is from Rfam by way of RNAcentral. Lineage: Eukaryota; Metazoa; Chordata; Mammalia; Artiodactyla; Camelidae.